RNAcentral lists this ribosomal RNA (215 nucleotides) under uncultured bacterium. Its description in RNAcentral is "partial 16S ribosomal RNA". It matches the Rfam family "Bacterial small subunit ribosomal RNA", at positions 118 to 318 of the family's 1533-position model. The record is from RNAcentral.
UAGAUAACCUGCCUCUAAGAUCGGGAUAACCUGUCGAAAGACGAGCUAAUACCAAAUGAGACCACAGCUUCUUCGGAAGCAAGGGUCAAAGGUAGCCUCUACUUGUAAGCUAUCACUUAGAGAUGGGCCUGCGUACCAUUAGCUAGUUGGUGGGGUAACGCCCACCAAGGCAAAGAUGGUUAGCUGGUCUGAGAGGAUGAUCAGCCACACUGGAA